GGUAACGGCUCACCAAGGUGACGAUCAGUAGCCGACCUGAGAGGGUGAUCGGCCACAUUGGAACUGAGACACGGUCCAAACUUCUACGGAAGGCAGCAGUAAGGAAUCUUGCACAAUGGGGGAAACCCUGAUGCAGCAACGCCGCGUGAACGAUGAAGGCCUUAGGGUUGUAAAGUUCUGAUCUGUGGGAAGAAGAAGUGACGGUACCACAGGAGAAAGCCCCGGCUAAAUACGUGCCAGCAGCCGCGGUAAUACGUAUGGGGCAAGCGUUAUCCGGAAUUAUUGGGCGUAAAGAGUGCGUAGGUGGUUACCUAAGCGCAAGGUUUAAUCUUGAGGCUCAACCUCAUUCUGCCUUGCGAACUGGGCUACUUGAGUACAGGAGGGGAAAGCGGAAUUCCCAGUGUAGCGGUGAAAUGCGUAGAUAUUGGGAAGAACACCGGUGGCGAAGGCGGCUUUCUGGACUGUAACUGACACUGAGGCACGAAAGCGUGGGGGAGCAAACAGGAUUAGAUACCCUGGUAGUCCACGCCGUAAACGAUGAGCACUAGUUGUUGGGUACGAAUGUAUUCAGUGACGCAGU
This 580-nucleotide ribosomal RNA is filed under the name uncultured rumen bacterium. Its description in RNAcentral is "bacterial SSU rRNA". It matches the Rfam family "Bacterial small subunit ribosomal RNA", at positions 256 to 852 of the family's 1533-position model. The record is from RNAcentral.